This is a long non-coding RNA of Daphnia magna, 436 nucleotides long. RefSeq lists it as uncharacterized. The transcript has 2 exons. Lineage: Eukaryota; Metazoa; Arthropoda; Branchiopoda; Diplostraca; Daphniidae. The record is from RefSeq and is a predicted model, not a curated record.
UCUUAAUAAAAUCUUCCGUUUGAUAGAAAUGCACCAAUUUCAGUCUAGCAUAUCCGCUAGUCUAACAAGCUCAACUUGAAGGCUACACCAACACAUAUAAACGGAAAUCUAUGGUCGGUGUUCGGCUACACCUUGGGACAAUGCAGGAACCAACACAGUCUUCACCCGUUAUUGGAAACAGAUCCAUUUACGUUGGUCGCUCAAAACGGAUACUUUUUCAGUCGUUACCAACGGAUCCGUUCAUCUUUUUUUCAUAUUAUAGAAUAGGAUUAAAAUAAGAAACGGUGUUUUUUUAUUUAAAUUAGUGUAAAUUGUCACCUAUGUGUACUUGGGUCGGUUGUCGGGCCGGAAUAAAGCCGGUUCCAAAACCCGAUUAUGCUAUUUUGUCCCCUGUUUGCCCCGUUUCGUGUAAUACAAUAAAAAUUCUAUUACAUAA